AACGAACGCUGGAGGCAUGCCUGACACAUGCAAGUCGAACGAGAUCUUCGGGUCUAGUGGCGCACGGGUGCGUAACGCGUGGGAAUCUGCCCUUUGGUUCGGAAUAACAGUUGGAAACGACUGCUAAUACCGGAUGAUGACGAAAGUCCAAAGAUUUAUCGCCAGAGGAUGAGCCCGCGUAGGAUUAGCUAGUUGGUGUGGUAAAGGCGCACCAAGGCGACGAUCCUUAGCUGGUCUGAGAGGAUGAUCAGCCACACUGGGACUGAGACACGGCCCAGACUCCUACGGGAGGCAGCAGUGGGGAAUAUUGGACAAUGGGCGAAAGCCUGAUCCAGCAAUGCCGCGUGAGUGAUGAAGGCCUUAGGGUUGUAAAGCUCUUUUACCCGGGAUGAUAAUGACAGUACCGGGAGAAUAAGCUCCGGCUAACUCCGUGCCAGCAGCCGCAGUAA
This 449-nucleotide ribosomal RNA is filed under the name uncultured bacterium. Its description in RNAcentral is "partial 16S ribosomal RNA". It matches the Rfam family "Bacterial small subunit ribosomal RNA", at positions 29 to 523 of the family's 1533-position model. The record is from RNAcentral.